CUUUGUUUAGCUUAUAUUUAGAGCAUUUAUUUGAAGCGUAAAAGGGACUUUAGAGUAACGAAGA
Molecule: transfer RNA, 64 nt
Filed under: Benedenia seriolae
Lineage: Eukaryota; Metazoa; Platyhelminthes; Monogenea; Capsalidea; Capsalidae
Description: tRNA-Phe
Source: RNAcentral